Molecule: ribosomal RNA, 253 nt
Filed under: uncultured bacterium
Lineage: Bacteria
Description: partial 16S ribosomal RNA
Rfam family: Bacterial small subunit ribosomal RNA
Source: RNAcentral
UACGUAGGGUGCAAGCGUUAAUCGGAAUUACUGGGCGUAAAGCGUGCGCAGGCGGUUUCUUAAGUCAGAUGUGAAAGCCCCGGGCUUAACCUGGGAACUGCGUUUGAAACUGGGAGACUUGAGUGUGGCAGAGGGGGGUGGAAUUCCACGUGUAGCAGUGAAAUGCGUAGAUAUGUGGAGGAACACCGAUGGCGAAGGCAGCCCCCUGGGUUAACACUAACGCUCAUGCACGAAAGCGUGGGGAGCAAACAGG